GUUUUGAGAGGUGGCCAGUAUUCUCAACAGCUUCAUCUAGAACCUCUUUUGCCUUUUCUACCCUUCCCAAAACCUGAAACCAGUUUAUAUACUAUUACUUAGAGUAAACCAUAACAUAACUGUACAAGUGAAGAAUAAUAUAUAUAUAUAUAUAUAUGUGUGUGUGUGUGUGUGUGUGUGUGUAUACAUACCAAGUAUAGAAAUCGAGAAUAUUGUGCAAACAAAAAGGGCAGAAUCUGUGAAUGCUCUUUCCCUUUCUCAAUUGCAAUAGUCUGCUCAUACAAUGAACAAGCGUCUUCCAGAUUUCCC
RNAcentral lists this long non-coding RNA (309 nucleotides) under Lactuca sativa (garden lettuce). RNAcentral's name for it is "long non-coding RNA (LSAT_LNC008360)". Lineage: Eukaryota; Viridiplantae; Streptophyta; Magnoliopsida; Asterales; Asteraceae. The record is from RNAcentral.